Molecule: ribosomal RNA, 260 nt
Filed under: uncultured bacterium
Lineage: Bacteria
Description: partial 16S ribosomal RNA
Rfam family: Bacterial small subunit ribosomal RNA
Source: RNAcentral
CGUGGCGGACGGGUGAGUAACGCGUGGGUAACCUGCCAUAUACAGGGGGAUAACACUUAGAAAUAGGUGCUAAUACCGCAUAAGCGCACAGGGGCGCAUGCCCCGGUGCGAAAAACUCCGGUGGUAUAUGAUGGACCCGCGUCUGAUUAGCCAGUUGGCAGGGUAACGGCCUACCAAAGCGACGAUCAGUAGCCGGCCUGAGAGGGCGGACGGCCACAUUGGGACUGAGACACGGCCCAAACUCCUACGGAAGGCAGCAG